CGGCUUGGUUCUAUUUUGUUGGUUUCUAGGAUCACCGUAAUGAUUAAUAGGGAUAGUUGGGGGCAUUAGUAUUCAAUUGUCAGAGGUGAAAUUCUUGGAUUUAUUGAAGACUAACUACUGCGAAAGCAUUUGCCAAGGAUGUUUUCAUUAAUCAAGAACGAAAGUUAGGGGAUCGAAGACGAUCAGAUACCGUCGUAGUCUUAACCAUAAACUAUGCCGACUAGGAAUCAGACGAUGUUAAUUUUUUAAUGACUCGUUUGGCACCUUACGGGAAACCAAAGUGUUUGGGUUCCGGGGGGAGUAUGGUCGCAAGGCUGAAACUUAAAGGAAUUGACGGAAGGGCACCACCAGGGGUGGAGCCUGCGGCUUAAUUUGACUCAACACGGGGAA
This 390-nucleotide ribosomal RNA is filed under the name fungal sp. Its description in RNAcentral is "SSU rRNA". It matches the Rfam family "Eukaryotic small subunit ribosomal RNA", at positions 826 to 1212 of the family's 1831-position model. Lineage: Eukaryota; Fungi. The record is from RNAcentral.